AGUUAAAAAGCUCGUAGUUAGAUUUCUUUUCUUUGUCGUUGGAAAGCUACUUCACGUAGUUUCUCUAGCAACAGGGGAAAACAUUUGUCGCAAACCGGUCGAGUGCUGUAAUGGUUCUCGGUCGUUAAGUGACUCGUUUACUUUGAGAAAAUUAGAGUGUUCAAAGCAGGCAUUCCGCCUUGAAUAUGUUAGCAUGGAAUAAUAACAUAGGACUGAUAGUUCUAUUUGUUGGUUGUUCGAGAACUGGAGUAAUGAUUGAUAGGGACGGUUGGGGGCAUCUGUAUUCUCAAGCGAGAGGUGAAAUUCUUGGACCUUGGGAAGACAAGCAGCUGCGAAAGCGUUUGCCUAGGACGUUCUCUUUAAUCAAGAACGAAAGUUGGGGGAUCGAAGACGAUCAGAUACCGUCGUAGUCUCAACUAUAAACUAUGCCAGCUAGGGAUCAGCCGGGUCUUUCUU
RNAcentral lists this ribosomal RNA (456 nucleotides) under uncultured marine eukaryote. RNAcentral describes it as "bacterial SSU rRNA". It matches the Rfam family "Eukaryotic small subunit ribosomal RNA", at positions 617 to 1069 of the family's 1831-position model. The record is from RNAcentral.